UUUUCGGCUGCCAUCUUUGCUUUAAUUUGGAUGAAAUUAUGAAUUGUGGACGACUAAAUGCAAAUUAUAAAUUAAUGUAUUUAUUAGUCAAAUUAAAAGGGUGCUGAAAUAAAUUCAAAAAAAAAUCCUAUGUAUUUUCCGAUUAUUCUCACUUAAAUUUUUUAAGCAUAUUACUUUUUUGGAACAAAAUUUGCAGCAACUGUUUCUUUAUAAUCAACUCACAAAAAAAAAAGAAAAAAAAACCC
RNAcentral lists this long non-coding RNA (245 nucleotides) under Salvia miltiorrhiza (redroot sage). Its description in RNAcentral is "long non-coding RNA (SMIL_LNC013131)". The record is from RNAcentral. Lineage: Eukaryota; Viridiplantae; Streptophyta; Magnoliopsida; Lamiales; Lamiaceae.